RNAcentral lists this ribosomal RNA (478 nucleotides) under uncultured bacterium. Its description in RNAcentral is "partial 16S ribosomal RNA". It matches the Rfam family "Bacterial small subunit ribosomal RNA", at positions 28 to 523 of the family's 1533-position model. The record is from RNAcentral.
GACGAACGCUGGCGGCGUGCUUAACACAUGCAAGUCGAACGGUAAGGCCCUUCGGGGUACACGAGUGGCGAACGGGUGAGUAACACGUGGGUGAUCUGCCCUGCACUUCGGGAUAAGCCUGGGAAACUGGGUCUAAUACCGGAUAGGACUCCUGGCUUCAUGGUUGGGGGUGGAAAGCUUUUGCGGUGUGGGAUGGGCCCGCGGCCUAUCAGCUUGUUGGUGGGGUAAUGGCCUACCAAGGCGACGACGGGUAGCCGGCCUGAGAGGGUGACCGGUCACACUGGGACGGAGAUACGGGCCAGACUCCUACGGGAGGCAGCAGUGGGGAAUAUUGCACAAUGGGCGCAAGCCUGAUGCAGCGACGCCGCGUGAGGGAUGACGGCCUUCGGGUUGUAAACCUCUUUCAGCUAUGACGAAGCGCAAGUGACGGUAGUAGCAGAAGAAGGACCGGCCAACUACGUGCCAGCCGCCGCGGUAA